GACUAAGUUAAAUACUGUACCUCUAGUAGGAAAAACUUUCGAGUUCGUUUCGUUGCGUAUUCAAAGUGUCAUCGAAAAAUUUUGUAUGAAAAAUUAAACAGCGCCCCCUAGGGCGGCUAUAAUAUAGGGGGCGCUGUUUAAUUUUUCAUACAAAAUUUUUCGAUGACACUUUGAAUACGCAACGAAACGAACUCGAAAGUUUUUCCUACUAGAGUUACUGUUGUGCCAGACAUAUCUUAUAGAUUUUAAUCCUAUUUCAUCAUUUCAUUAUUAUAAUUGUUUAUUCUUCACUUAAAGACUACAAUUCGAUAUUUUGUUCAUUUCUAGAACUCAAGUGUUGUAUAGAAAUCAUAAAAGUCUAAUCCAUCCAUCUCUAUUCUCUUACCUUGUCUUUCAAAAAUGAACUUUGAGCUUAUAAUAAUAGGGUUCAUUUUCCUGUGUUCUAUUUCAAAUCUUUGAUUAUAAGUUCAAUUUUGCAAUCUACUAAAGUUAAUAUGCAAAAAUGAACUUUGAAUACAUUACGCUGGGAUUCAGUUUUGUUUACUAGACCAAACGGGCACAUACGAAGCGCCUUAGGAACGUGAAAAGUGUUGCCGUGGCACUAUACUAUAGCCGCUAUAACCAUAGUAUUAAAAUAUAUUUUUAGAAAGAUU
Long non-coding RNA from Ostrinia nubilalis (European corn borer), 653 nucleotides. RefSeq lists it as uncharacterized. The transcript has 2 exons. NCBI's taxonomy places the organism in Eukaryota, Metazoa, Arthropoda, Insecta, Lepidoptera, Crambidae. The record is from RefSeq and is a predicted model, not a curated record.